Molecule: long non-coding RNA, 1707 nt
Organism: Argiope bruennichi
Lineage: Eukaryota; Metazoa; Arthropoda; Arachnida; Araneae; Araneidae
Exons: 3
Source: RefSeq, a predicted model, not a curated record
GUUUUUAAGACAGAACAAAAGAAUUUUAUUUUCCAUUUUAAAUAUUUUUAGUUUUGAGGACUUGAAAACUUUCGAAAGCAGCUGCGAUUCGGCAAUAAUGUGUGUUGGCCGUAUUUUUUCAUCCAAAAGAUGUAUCCUAAUUCAAAAACUACGGAGAAAGCCAGCUGGCCAAAGGAAUCCAAUAAAUGAAAGUGGAAAGAGAAGAAAAUUGAACUCAAAACAUUUCUUCUUUACAUGUUGCUCGCUUUUAUCCGGCAUGCCAUUCAUGUGGCCGUCAAGCCACGCACAUGAUAGACAUUUGUCUACGAUGACCCACUACGAAUAUCCUUAUUUACAAUUCCAAUAUCCAGAUUCAGUUCACUACUGGUGUUAGGACCGGAUUUCCUGAAAUAGUUUUUCAUCAGUUCUGCGUUAAGCAAAGGCGAAGUUCAAGUAAUCAGAGCUAUGUUGGAAUCUAAGCCUCCUGGCAUGCAGAUCUGUGUGGCCAACCACCCAAAGAUUUGCUCUGUCCAUUUUCUCUUUUCUCUUUGUGAAAUUCGAUAAAAUUAGUGUCAAUUGAUGUCAUUAUAAUUAAGGAUUACUCAACUAAUGUACCGCUUGUCAUACUAUUGCAUACUGAAGAAAUUUAUUUUUGUUACACACCACCUGCUUUAAAAUGUAUUCAUUGAAGGAAAAGAGGCCACCAAGGAGAAGCAAUAGGCAUAACUAAAUGCUGCAAGCUCGUGAUGCCAUUAUAAAUAGUAUAAAAUUAGGAUUUUAGUUAAUUUCAUUAAAAGGUUUGUGGCCAUUUUUUUCCUACAAACGGCACAUUAAAAUAUUUUGAAAAUUUAAAAAACGAAAUUCAUUUAGAUCAUAGAAAAAUCUAAACGCAUCGUUGUAACUGCGAUUCCAAAUACGUAGAGGUUUUCAACAAAAAAAUUAAAGCCUGAAUUUAUGCCAACAUUCUUUUCAGAAUUAGGUAUAGGCAUAUAAUUAUUUCAAAAUAAAAAUAUUAAUAACUAAUUGAUAAAUAAUUUGAUUUUACAAUCUAUAAUAUCUGAUCAAAGUAUUUAUUAACAUUUAUGCGAUUUCUCAAGCUUUUUAGAAAUAGCAACUCCACUUAGAAGUAACUUUCUAUGAGCAUUUAAAAAUUGUUGAAUUCGACUAUCAGUAUAUUUUCCCAUUGUUUCUCCAUUUCUCCAGUCGUUUGUUCGACCCCACCUUCCUGUUUCAACUGCGUAAUUGAGGGGUGACAAGGGUAUAGGCUGAAUUUAAAUGUCUCCAACCUUCAGAAAGGAUUCCAGUAAAACCUUAAAAUAGCUUUUGAAGUAAUGCAAAUGUUCAGUUAAAAUGUCACAUGCCUAUUCUACAGUAACAAGUUAGUAAAAGCUGAUCUGAAUCAUUUGAUUGACUUUCUCCUUCACACUUUAAAAGAAAGGGGAAAAAAAAUCCGAAAAAAUCAGAGUUCAUGGAAUCGCAUUGCAUCAUUAAUGAAAGCAGGUUUCCAGACCAAGGCGCCUUUUGCUGCGCACACUGAGAAGAAUGAAAAUACUAAGAAACGCACAAGCAAAAAUACAGAAAAGUACUAAUUGCAUGACUUCAACUAAUUCAACAGUAUGCAAGAAUUUUUAACGAAUUAGUGAAAAAUUAUUAAAAUAUUUCAUCUUUCGUGUUUGUUUUUUUUAAUCUAAUGCUUUGAAUCUAAUAAAUCUUUAAAAUCUUCCAAAA